GUGAAUCAUCAAAUUUUUGAACGCAAAUUGCGCUUCCUGGCAUCCCGGGAAGUAUGCCUGUUUGAGGGUAGGUAUUAAUAAAGAUCGGUGUGUUGCUUCUUUGUUACUCUCCGGAGUUUGGGUCAGCCUUAUAGCUUUUAGGUUUUAAGAGGCUUAAAAUUGACUUUUUUUUCGCAUUUUAGAUGUACAUAAAUGCUUUUUUUUAGUCGUCUUUCUGAAUGCUCAUAAUCCU
This 232-nucleotide unclassified non-coding RNA is filed under the name Glomeraceae sp. RNAcentral describes it as "partial contains 5.8S ribosomal RNA and internal transcribed spacer 2". The stretch from base 1 to 71 matches the Rfam family "5.8S ribosomal RNA", at positions 84 to 154 of the family's 154-position model. The record is from RNAcentral. Lineage: Eukaryota; Fungi; Glomeromycota; Glomeromycetes; Glomerales; Glomeraceae.